RNAcentral lists this long non-coding RNA (432 nucleotides) under Camarhynchus parvulus. Its description in RNAcentral is "lncRNA (ENSCPVG00000010510.2)". Lineage: Eukaryota; Metazoa; Chordata; Aves; Passeriformes; Thraupidae. The record is from RNAcentral.
CGGGCCCGGCGGCGGCGGCGGCGCCUUUAAGCGGGGCCGGUCUCCCGGAGCCCCCGCCCGGGGGCCGGGCCGGGCCGCCCCCCGUAGCCUGGUAACGGCGGCUCUGCGGGCGGGGGCGGCCCCGGCAGCCGCGGUCAGGUGGCACCGCCGAGACGGAGCCGGCCGAGCACGAUAAAAGUCCCGGCCCGCCGCCGCCACGGCCGCGAGGGAGAGCGGAGCCGCCGCCCGGGAGCCAUGCCCAGCGUGGGACACUCUCCCUGAGCCGCCCCAGCCCCAGCAGCCCAGAGCUCCGCGGUGCCGCUCCGUGACUGAGAGCAGGACUUUGUCACCAACUUGACUGAGCAGCGGGAGCUCUCGCUGUCCUGCCGCCACCAGGCCAGACAAUCCCUCCCUUGGCUGCACGUCCCCUUGGCUCUCUUCCCAUAAUGGAAG